GACGAACGCUGGCGGCGUGCCUAACACAUGCAAGUCGAACGGAGUUACCCUUCGGGGUAGCUUAGUGGCGAACGGGUGAGUAACGCGUGAGCAACCUGCCCUUGUGUGGGGGACAACAGUUGGAAACGGCUGCUAAUACCGCAUAACACACACCAAUCGCAUGUUUGGUGUGUCAAAGAUUUAUUGCGCAAGGAUGGGCUCGCGUUGGAUUAGAUAGUUGGUGAGGUAACGGCUCACCAAGUCGACGAUCCAUAGCCGGACUGAGAGGUUGAACGGCCACAUUGGGACUGAGACACGGCCCAGACUCCUACGGGAGGCAGCAGUGGGGAAUAUUGCACAAUGGGGGAAACCCUGAUGCAGCGACGCCGCGUGAAGGAAGAAGGCCUUCGGGUUGUAAACUUCUUUUACCAGGGACGAAGAACGUGACGGUACCUGGAGAAGAAGCAACGGCUAACUACGUGCCAGCAGCCGCGGU
Molecule: ribosomal RNA, 475 nt
Filed under: uncultured bacterium
Lineage: Bacteria
Description: bacterial SSU rRNA
Rfam family: Bacterial small subunit ribosomal RNA
Source: RNAcentral